GACGAACGCUGGCGGCGUGCUUAACACAUGCAAGUCGAACGAUGAAGCGCGUGCUUGCACUCGUGGAUUAGUGGCGAACGGGCGAGUAACACGUGAGUAACCUGUCCUUUUCUUUGGGAUAACUGCUGGAAACGGCUGCUAAUACCGGAUAUUCAGGCCGCAUCGCAUGUUGUGGUUGGGAAAGGUCUUUUGUGGGGUUGGGUGGGGUCGCGGCCUAUCAGGUUGUUGGUGGGGUGAUGGCUUACCAAGGUUUUGACGGGUGGCCGGCCUGAGAGGCUGGUCGGGCGGACUAGGACUGAGAUUGGGCCCAGGAUGCUGCGGGAGGCAGCAGUGGAGAAAACUGUAGAAUGGACUAAAGAAUGGUGCAGCGACUGAUCGAGGAGGGUGUUGUGCGUGGUGUUGGGAACUGGGUUGUAACGCGAAUACGGCUGUGUUGUGGCGGUGUUGACGGUAGUGGGUAAAGAAGCGCCGGCUAACUACGUG
This 483-nucleotide ribosomal RNA is filed under the name uncultured bacterium. RNAcentral's name for it is "partial 16S ribosomal RNA". It matches the Rfam family "Bacterial small subunit ribosomal RNA", at positions 28 to 507 of the family's 1533-position model. The record is from RNAcentral.